RNAcentral lists this ribosomal RNA (495 nucleotides) under uncultured bacterium. RNAcentral describes it as "partial 16S ribosomal RNA". It matches the Rfam family "Bacterial small subunit ribosomal RNA", at positions 28 to 507 of the family's 1533-position model. The record is from RNAcentral.
GACGAACGCUGGCGGCGUGCCUAAUACAUGCAAGUAGAACGCUGAAGGAGGAGCUUGCUCUUCUGGAUGAGUUGCGAACGGGUGAGUAACGCGUAGGUAACCUGCCUGGUAGCGGGGGAUAACUAUUGGAAACGAUAGCUAAUACCGCAUAAGAGUAGAUGUUGCAUGACAUUUGCUUAAAAGGUGCAAUUGCAUCACUACCAGAUGGCCCUGCGUUGUAUUAGCUAGUUGGUGGGGUAACGGCUCACCAAGGCGACGAUACAUAGCCGACCUGAGAGGGUGAUCGGCCACACUGGGACUGAGACACGGCCCAGACUCCUACGGGAGGCAGCAGUAGGGAAUCUUCGGCAAUGGACGGAAGUCUGACCGAGCAACGCCGCGUGAGUGAAGAAGGUUUUCGGAUCGUAAAGCUCUGUUGUAAGAGAAGAACGAGUGUGAGAGUGGAAAGUUCACACUGUGACGGUAGCUUACCAGAAAGGGACGGCUAACUACGUG